GUGCUUACUUCGGAAGCACACAUACUAAAAUUGGAACGAUACAGAGAUUAGAAUGGCCCCUGUACAAAGAUGACAUACACAUUUGUGAAGCAUUCCAUAUUUUU
Molecule: small nuclear RNA, 104 nt
Organism: Acomys russatus (golden spiny mouse)
Lineage: Eukaryota; Metazoa; Chordata; Mammalia; Rodentia; Muridae
Source: RefSeq, a predicted model, not a curated record